Microcebus murinus (gray mouse lemur) is the source of this 445-nucleotide non-coding RNA. NCBI's taxonomy places the organism in Eukaryota, Metazoa, Chordata, Mammalia, Primates, Cheirogaleidae. The record is from the annotation of a RefSeq genome assembly.
ACCAGAGCUCACAGGAGCCUCCACCAUGGCCUGGGCCCCUGUCCUCGUCCCUCUCCUCGCUCUCUGCUCAGGGUCCUGGGCACAGUCUGGACUCACCCAGGAAGCCUCGGUGUCAGGGUCUGUGGGACACAAGGUCACCCUGUCCUGCGCUGGAAACAGCAACAACGUUGGAUCAUAUGGUGUGGGCUGGUACCAGCAGGUUCCUCGUGGUGCCCCCAAAACUGUGAUGCUCGGGACAACUCGGCCCUCGGGGAUCCCCGAUCGCUUCUCCGGCUCCAGGUCUGGGAACACGGCCUCCCUGACCAUCUCGGGCCUCCAGCCGGAGGACGAGGCUGACUAUUACUGUUCAACACGGGACGGAAGCCUGAGUGCUCACACAGCGCCCCAGACACAGGGGGAACUGAGACAGAAACCUGCUGCUGCUCCCCUGUGGUCGCCCUCAUGA